CAAAAUGCUGGCGUUUAACUGGUUAUAUGACCUUCCUCUGGGAACACUUGACUGGGCUACUCAAGUGAAGCAGUAGAAGUGGACAAGGAACAAAAAAAUCUACUCACAGCUGGAGAAAAUUUGUGUCAAGAUGAAUCAUGUUUUGAAUCUUCUCUCAUGUCAGAUUUAGAUAACUGUUUGGACUAUGGACCUCUUAGUUGAUGCUGGAAAGUGUUAAGAUUUUGGGGACUAUUAAGGUGAAAUAAAUGUAUUUUGCAUGUGAGAAAGACAUUAAUUUUGGGGGCUGUGGUGGAGAGCUAUGGCUUGAAUGUGUCCCCUAAGAAGCAUGUGUUGGAAACUUAAUCCCCAGUGCAACAGUGUUGGAAAGUUGGGCGUAAGAAAAGAUGUUUAUGUCAUAAGGGCUCCACCCACAUGAAUGCAUUAUUACUGAUUGUUAAAAGGCUUGAGGCUGCAAGUUUGAUCUCUCUCAUACACAAGCAUAUGUGGUUUCUUGCUCUUCUGUCUUUCACCAUGGGAUGGCUCAGUGAGAAGACUCUAACCAGAUGUAGGCCCCCUUGACUUUGAACUUCUCAGCCUCUCGAGCUGUAAGAAAUAAAUCACUGCUUUUUAAAUAAAUUAUCCAGUUUCAGAUAUUCUUUUGUAGCAGCAAAAAAUGGACUAUGACAUGGAGCUUUAAGAGACAUCUGAUAAAAAUAAAAUUUAAGUGAAAACGUGGGCAGAUAGGAUGAGAACCUGUCCCAUGAAAAAACCCUGUGUAGUCACUAGGUGAGAGAAGAAAUUCAGAACACCAUGUCUUCACUCUAUAUGUGUACAUCCUAGAGAUGAAGAAUUAUAGAUUAAAAAACCAAAAUUACUAUUUAAUUAUUUUGUAUAACAAAAUGAGACACUACCAUCACUUUUUGAGACACUUAUAUCUAUGUCAACCAAAAAGCAAAUCCCAAUUUUUCCUCCCCAUACAACAGACCAUCACAUAAACUCCGCCCUGUGAGGGCCCAGGCCAUCUAAUUACAGCAUUGCAGCUAUCACAACUAAGCCAAGUAUCUCAGGAGAAAAAAAGCUACCUGUUUCUAGCCACACAAUUAAGCCAUGUAAACACAUGUCAUACUUUGUGUCAAAGCAGUGAUAGUAUCAGUUACUUAGAGAUGAAUAACUGGUGCUUGGGACUGGAGCAGCCUUGAGACAAGAAUAUCACUCAUCAGUCCCAAAGAAAUGGCAGAGGAGGAACCAUGGCUGGAAAAGCAGACGCUAUAGUGGAAGACAACCUUUUAGGCUUCCUCAAAAGCCUGGAGUUGGGGUAUCUUGCUGGUAAUUGAAAUUCCUAUGUAAAAUGUUGGAAUAAAGAAUAAAGUUAAUUUGGGUGUGUUCUAUUUUUUCCACAUAAACUUGCAAGUUAGACCCACAGUUUUUGCUUAUGUAUCAAUGUUAUAAUAUGCUACUUUAACACUAGUGCUAGUUUAUUAAUCCUAUGAGUUCAACUGUGUAAUUUUCAUUUUUUUGCUGUGUUUUGUAGGAUUUUAUGUAGUUUAAUGUUUUCCUCCAUAUCUGAAAUAAAAUUUA
RNAcentral lists this long non-coding RNA (1557 nucleotides) under Homo sapiens (human). Its description in RNAcentral is "HSALNT0403384". The record is from RNAcentral. Lineage: Eukaryota; Metazoa; Chordata; Mammalia; Primates; Hominidae.